RNAcentral lists this long non-coding RNA (967 nucleotides) under Citrus x clementina. Its description in RNAcentral is "Citrus clementina (C. clementina) long non-coding RNA (CCLE_LNC000021)". The record is from RNAcentral. Lineage: Eukaryota; Viridiplantae; Streptophyta; Magnoliopsida; Sapindales; Rutaceae.
GCCUAUUUUUGGCACACAGAGGCCACUCGCAAAGUCUCGCUGCAUUCCGAGUCCGGCGGACGAAGUUGGCCAGCCCCACCCCCCAAGGCUAUAGCCCACCCGUUUUUGUGGCCUUUUUCCGCUGGACGAAUUUGGCGCCCCGGCCUUCGGGUGGUUAUUUUUGGACGCGGCUUUGCCCGCGGCUUAUUUUUGGCACACGGAGGCCCCUCGCAAAGUCUCGCGGCAUUCCGAGUCCGGCGGACGAAGUGGGCCAGCCCCACCCCCCAAGGCUAUAGCCCACCCGUUUUUGUGGCCUUUUUCCGCUGGACGAACUUGGCGCCCCGGCCUUCAGGCGGUUAUUUUUUUGGCCCGGCUUUGUCCGCGGCCUAUUUUUGGCACACGGAGGCCCCUCGAUAAGUCUCGCGGCAUUCCGACUCCGGCGGACGAAGUUGGCCAGCCCCACCCCCCAAGGCUAUAGCCCACCCGUUUUUGUGGCCUUUUUCCGCUGGACGAACUUGGCGCCGCGGCCUUCGGGCGGUUAUUUUUGGGCGCGGCUUUGCCUGCGGCCUAUUUUUGGCACACAGAGGCCACUCGCAAAGUCUCGCUGCAUUCCGAGUCCGGCGGACGAAGUUGGCCAGCCCCACCCCCCAAGGCUAUAGCCCACCCUUUUUUGUGGCCUUUUUCCGCUGGACGAACUUGGCGCCCCGGCCUUCGGGCGGUUAUUUUUGGGCGCGGCUUUGCCCGCGGCUUAUUUUUGGCACACGGAGGCCCCUCGCAAAGUCUCGCGGCAUUCCGAGUCCGGCGGACGAAGUGGGCCAGCCCCACCCCCCAAGGCUAUAGCCCACCCGUUUUUGUGGCCUUUUUCCGCUGGACGAACUUGGCGCCCCGGCCUUCGGGAGUUUAUUUUUGGACGCGGCUUUGCCCGCGGCCUAUUUUUGGCACACGGAGGCCGCUCGCAAAGUCUCGCACCAUUCCGAGUCCGGCGGAC